Long non-coding RNA from Labrus mixtus (cuckoo wrasse), 817 nucleotides. RefSeq lists it as uncharacterized. Lineage: Eukaryota; Metazoa; Chordata; Actinopteri; Labriformes; Labridae. The transcript has 2 exons. The record is from RefSeq and is a predicted model, not a curated record.
UGCAAAGCCCUGAUAUAAGUUUUUUUGACUGUGUUACGGUCUCGUAAACCAACAUAAGAAGACGCCACACAGAUUGAAAGUUAUACCCAGAGCUUUAUUUUAACAAAUUCUCCCCCAAUAUUUUCAAAAAGAUGAAGAAAGAUAACUAAAGGGACUGGAGACCCCAUCCAAAAAACAACAAAAGAUGGGAAGGUGCUGAGCAAACCAUGCAGUGGGCCGUCGACCCACUCAGCACCUCCGCCAUAAAACUACCUAAGAAAUAAAACUCACCUUAGAGAAGGCAAAAGACAGAAAACAGGACUAUCCGAGAUCUCAAGCCCCAAACUAAAAUAACAAAAUCCAGCUACUAAAAUCUCUGUUUGGAAAGAAAUGAACACCUAGGUGGGGGAAAGGAUAAAGUCAGAUGCCCAGAGAGCGUGUGUGCCUCGUGUCUGUUCUACCUGCUCCUCUAAAUUCCCCAGAGAGACAACAGCAUGCAACAACUGUCUAAAUUACACAAAUACAUUGGCAACAUUUCAAUACCACACAAAUACAUCUGUUUCCUCUCAUACUAAAAGGAUAUGCCAAGUAUUUAAAUAAAAAUUUAAAAAGUGAACCUGUCCUCAGAGCUGUAGGAGACAUGAACGUAACUUUUUGCAUAGUAAAGGAAACACUCGCACUUCAACCGCUCCACAGGUGGAGGUCGGUGCUCUCAGAGAAGGACGCUAGGCUGAAUCCAAAGAAAGUACUCGAGCACACAAAUCACUUACGGCAACUUAUUGAGGUGCAAAGGACUUUUGAACACACACUGCGACUUCCUCACAGAUAGACUUUUGCA